UGGUGGGUAGCCAAGUGGUAAGGCGCUUAUCCUUAUUCACCUUUUGCCUGCAAAGGCCGACGAAUUGAGGGUUAUCGAUUUAGGUUCGAGCGAUCGCGGGUUCGAUUCCCGCUCCACCAC
This 120-nucleotide transfer RNA is filed under the name Tolypothrix sp. FACHB-123. Its description in RNAcentral is "tRNA-OTHER". It matches the Rfam family "tRNA". Rfam says of the family: Transfer RNA (tRNA) molecules are approximately 80 nucleotides in length. Their secondary structure includes four short double-helical elements and three loops (D, anti-codon, and T loops). Further hydrogen bonds mediate the characteristic L-shaped molecular structure. tRNAs have two regions of fundamental functional importance: the anti-codon, which is responsible for specific mRNA codon recognition, and the 3' end, to which the tRNAs corresponding amino acid is attached (by aminoacyl-tRNA synthetases). tRNAs cope with the degeneracy of the genetic code in two manners: having more than one tRNA (with a specific anti-codon) for a particular amino acid; and 'wobble' base-pairing, i.e. permitting non-standard base-pairing at the 3rd anti-codon position. Lineage: Bacteria; Bacillati; Cyanobacteriota; Cyanophyceae; Nostocales; Tolypothrichaceae. The record is from RNAcentral.